AUGGUAGACUGUUUUUAGUUUCAUUUCUUUUAAAUAGUCAGCACAAACACAGCAGUGGAAAGCCCAGUGGUCGUAUCUGUCCACAUCAGAAGAGGAAAUGGCAGUCUGUUGGUCUUAGCUUCUCAUGAACUUCCAAAUUUAACACUGUAGUUAUCCCCAGAAUACAGCUGACACUGGCUUGAAGCUAAAGUGCUUUUCUCUCUGGUGUUAGUGGCAAGUGAGCUUGUCUACUCAGGAAUGUUCGUUCUGGUGGUAUGCUGUCUCCUGUUAGCGCUUUCAGUGUCAGAUGCAACUUUGGCACUUGAUGUCAAUACUACUGUCGGGGACUCAGCAAUUCUUCAGUGUAAUAUGAACACUAAUCCUACUGACCUUAGUAAUCUACACUUUUACUGGCAAGAUGACAGAAAUGCAGUUUUGUAUUCUAUGAAGGAAGGAAAGGACAUGGCAGAGCAUGUAAAUGGACUUUAUCAACACAGGAUCACAGCCUUCCCACAGGACAUGAAAACAGGAAAUAUUUCGGUCAAGCUAAAAAACGUAACUCUUGAAGAUAACUGGAGAAUUUUCCAGGCUUUUGCAGCCGUUUCUGAGAGUGGAGGGAGGUGGAGGCAGAUCUGCAAAAGUAACCUACAUGUUGCAGUCCCUUACAAGAACCUCAGUCUGGCUCUAAAUAUUAAAACAAGGACUGCAGUGUGCACUACACAAAGAGGAUUUCCUGCACCUUUGGUACGCUGGAUGCUCCAGUUCUCUAACAACUCCUACAAUAUUAUAGACUGGAGGGAUGCAAACAACACAGCAAUUCUGGACCCUCGUGAUAGUCUCUACAGUUCCAGCAGCACUAUAUAUAUUCCUGAAGGACCUUAUCAGUCUGUGACCUGUUUCAGCCACAACCCUACUAUAAAUAUGACUUUGAAUGCCACCUGCAUUUUAAACAAAGGUGCAGCAAUGUGGAGCCUUACUGGCUGGACUGAAGUCUUGAUAGUGGCCGCUCUCCUGUUAGCUUGAGCUGUGGUUGUGUUGCAUAUUAAAUAGCCAGGCUGUGGUGGCAGAAGACUCCAGUGGGUUCUCAGUCUACUCUUGGGGUCCAGAAGGAUUCCUUGCCACAUACAAAAGCCAACUUGAUUGGCACGUUUCAACCUGAAAAACACCCUCUGCUGUGCAAAAUACUACAGAGUCAAGAUAUGACUUUGUCUGCAUAUUUUAAACUGUAAUUCAUACAUAGAAAAAUAUAGUAUGUCAUAUCUGGGGUCCAACACGUUCAUACGAUCAGUUGUCUAAUUUUUUAUUUACUUAAAUUAUAAGGUUCAUUCUUACAACAAUUUAACUACUGAAAAUGUUCCUUCAUUGAAACAGGAAACUGGAAAUACUGUGUAAUCAUUCGCUUUGUACACUAGAAAGCAAUAACAUGAGUCUCCACAUGAAAUAUUUUGGUUUUUGCUGAAAAUACAACCAUUUAUUCAAAAGUGAAGGCAGACUGAACCAGCAUGGCUACCACUGCAUCCUGCAGCGACAUACCAUCCCAUCCUGUUUAGGCUUACUGAGACCAACAUUUAUUCUUCAACAGGACAAUGACCCCAAACACACCUCCAGCCUGUGGAAGGGCUAUUUGACCAAGAAGGAGAGUGAUGGAGUGCUGCGUCAGGUGAUCUGGCCUCCACAGUCACCUGACCUCAACCCAUUCCAGAUGAUUUGGGAUGAAAUGGAACGCAGAGUGAGGGCUGAAGGGCCAAAAAGUGCUCAGCACUUCUGUGAACUCCUUCAAGACUGUUGGAAAACCAUUUAGGUGACCACCUCAUGAAACUCAUUGAGAGAAUGCCAAGAGUAUGCAAAGCAGUAAUCAAAGCAAAAGGGGGUUACUUUGAAGAAUCUAAAAUGUGAAACAUAUUCUGAUUUGUCUGACAACAUAAUUCCAUAUGUGUUCUUUCAUAGUUGUGAUGUUUUCAGUAUUAAUUUGCAAUUUAGAAACUAAUUAAAAUAAAAAAAAAAAAAAAAAAAACACUGAAUGAGAAGGGUGUGUCCAGAGUUUUGACUGGUACUGUAUCUGCACUUCAUAUUCCCGAUUUGGUCAUAUUCUAGUAAAAAUGCUGAGUUUAUAUGUCCUCAUGUGUCAUGAGGUCAUAUGCAGCACAAACAGAUUAGUGCUAGAAUAUGAAAAUGAUAUCUCAGAAUUCUUGAGGUUCUGGCGUGAUGUUCAAACCUGGAAUCUGCCAUAAAAAAGCUCCAGAACCUUAACUUCUCUUUUACCUACGAUAAAUAGCUGUGUUUUUAGGAUGCAACCCAUGAAGCUGCAUUAAUGAUAUGCACGGUUGGAGAAUUGGACAAUAGGUGAACACCGGUGCACAACAGUGUGCUAUUGUGUUGAUGUGUGUGUUUGUGUGUGUCUGUGUGUUCAUGCGCUGGUGUGUGUGUUUGUGUGUAGGAGGAGGGGGAGGGUCUGAGGACUAGGCUAGAGCUGGCCAGGAACAUUAAGCUGUUGAACAAAUUGGCUCACAGGGCACCAACUGGGGAAAAUGCCAUUUGAGUUAGCUAAAGCAAACAGGGAAAGGAUUUUCUGCUUAGUCUGUUCAAGAGAGAAAGCUGAUUUUGAAAGGACAUAUGAUACUGCUGAGUCCCACUGGGAAGGUCUGGGGUUAGAUGUUAGUAAAAAGCAAAUUGUUUAAGACCUCACGAGCUCACUCAUUUAGACAUCACUGCCACAACUACCUUUCUUCUUUAUGUUUUAUAUUAUGGGACAGGGCUGUCAUUGACUACAAUAUCAUUGAUUACUCGAAACAACGUGGUGUAGUAAUGCAGUUGUAUAUUUUAUGCAGUAGCAUAGCCUUUUUUAAAAUCUCCAGCGAUGAUACUGCUGUUGCAGUGUGAUUCUUAGCCACAGUGGCGACAGGGAUGUAAGGAUGGCAGUGCCAGCCUAUCAGCUGGUCUAGUGCAAUGAAAUGUCUCAACAAUUAAAAGAUGAACUGCCCAUAAAUGCUGUUCAGAUACAUAUGUUCCUCAGAGGGUCAUUUCUAAUAACUUUGUGAUUCACUGACAUUAUAUCAGUCAUCAAAUAUGAUCAUCCAAAGUAGGAAAUUGCAUUUAACUCAAAGAAAUGCUUGUCCAAAUGUUUGAUUUCUGUUGAUAUAUUAAUGUGUUGUGUUAAAAGUUUUAUAAACUCUUCAUUUUCAUUUUUACUUUGUAUUUCUUUUAUUGGUGUGUAUUUGUAUUGUAAAUCCUCUGCCUCCAACACAAAGCACAUUAGAUCAACUUAUGCUCUUUUGAAAUGUGUUAUAUAAAUAAAGUUUACCUGACUUGACUAAA
This is a long non-coding RNA of Amphiprion ocellaris (clown anemonefish), 3294 nucleotides long. RefSeq lists it as uncharacterized. The record is from RefSeq and is a predicted model, not a curated record. The transcript has 5 exons. Lineage: Eukaryota; Metazoa; Chordata; Actinopteri; Pomacentridae.